AACGUUUUCUGAAAUUUUAGCUAUAAAGCUUCUCAGAAUUUUAUUUUAUUAUUUUUUAAAAAUAUUUAUUUUAUUUUUUAGAGAGAGAGCAAGAUCAUGAGCAGUGGGGGAGCGGCAGAGGGAGAGAGAGAAUCCCAAGCAGACUCCACGCUUGAGUGCGGAGCCUGACACGGGGCCCGCUCUCACGACCACCUGAGCUGAAAUCAAGAGUCGGACACUUAACUGACGAAACCACCUGGGCGACCCAUAGAGCUGCUCAGAAUUUUAGAUCAUCUGUUCUACUCCAACCAAGGGAUGCUCGUGUAUGUAAAGCAUGAAGAGUGGGCAGUGAUGGCUCUGCCACCAGCAGGAGUAGGGGCCAGCAUCAACAGUGCCAUCCUGAGGAGUCUCCGGCAGCUACACGUCCCAUGGAGCUCGUCCUGUGGCCGGCUGGCUUUCCCAGAAGUCCACAUUCCAGCUUCCUCCCGCAGGCCCCGACCCCUACAGCAGGGGAGUGGGUACCGUGUGAAACUCUCUGAAACGCACCGGGGCACCUGGUCCCAUCUCCCACCGAAGGGGCCAGAGGCUAAUUGGCAGGAACGCCGCAUCCUGUAUCAGCCCCGCAGACGUGUGCUCUGGGCCCCGGAGCCGAGUGCUGCCGGGAAACGCGCACUCGUCUCCUCCGUAUCUGUUACAGGCCCCGCGGUUCACCGUCUGCUCGGAAAUUGGAUGAAGUCUGUGUGUACUUCCCUCGGCGUGCUCCUCCCUGACAGACAUCCAUCAGUCCCCAGAACCUAUGAAUGUGUUACCCUGUGCAGAAGAAGGGACUUGUCACAUGUGGGCAAGUUAAGGACCCUGAGGUGGAGAGAUGGUCCUGGAUGAUCCCAGCCCAGUGUCAUCACACGGUAAGAGGUGCACACGGGACCAGAGUCAGAGAGGGACCAUGAUGAGGGAAGCAGAGGUCAGGAUGAUGCAGCCAAAAGCCAAGGCUGAGGUGCCUCUGGACUCUGGAGAGGCAAGAGACAGGUUCUUCCCUGGGGCCUCCAGAAGGGUCCGGCCCUGCCUACCCUUGACUUGAGCCCGCUGAGGCCCGUCUUGGACGUCUGCCUUCCACAGUGAACUGGAGGCCGUGAAGCUGUGCUGUCUUAGGCUGCGAGGGUUGAGAUCAUUUGUCGCAGCGUCCGCUGGAGCUGAAUGUCACCAGUGGCUCUGCUUCCGUGCAUUUCAUGCGUCCACGUGGGGGUGAAGGUGAGGGGGUUUGUGGGGGAGGGGGAGCUGGGGAGAGUUGGUGAGACUUCUGGGGAGUGCUGGGCGGUGGAGGGGGGAGCGGCACGCUGUGCAGCAGGCGGCUGGGCUUGGAGAUGGCAGACCAGCUGUGCACAGAGUGCCACAGGGCAGGCGAAUCCCAGUGCUGAGCAGGAGGGUAAGGUGACACAGUGGCCUGUGACAGUGGCAGCACCAAGUAAACAUUCAGGAUACUGGGUGGAAGGCUCUGGACACAGCACAGUGUGGAUGUGGCUGAAACCUGUCUCUGCCCCAGAGACCCCUCCCUGUCGUCAUGGCCUGAAUCAGUGGUCCCAGGGUGUCCAUAAGGGCCCUUUGGUCUCUUUAGCAUGGGCUGAGUGCCAGCAUGGGGUCUGGGUUCCCUGAAUAAGAUGUUCGUGUUGUGUUGGACCCGUCAGAGGCCUGGGCCGUGGCAGCCAGACUGGAGAGGAGGGACAGAGGCUGGCCCGCACACUGAUGAGCUGCCCCAGUCAGCCGGGUCCAGAUGGGCCGCCCCCUCCCAGGACUGCUGUGAGCUCAGGCCAGGGGCAGCAGGUCCAGUGUCCCCAGGCCCUGCUUCACCCUUGCCAAGGCCACCUGCAGAGAGGGGACAGAGGAUUCCUGCUUGGGAUGUGAGAAGCAAGUCCACUCAAAACCACCCGUCUCAGCAUUGCCUCGGCCAGCCUUCUAGAUAAACAAAGCAGUGUUUAAAAAAUCCACGGGGAGGUGUUUUGGCCUGGAGGGAGGGAAGGUUCCGGGCCUCACUCUGAGCCAAGCCGGACCCACCCAUUCUUGGGACAGAGUAAAGCCAUCGUCCUCUGCGUCUCGGUGCCGUUUCUCGGGCCUGCCAAGGUCCUACAGUGGGAGGUGGCUCUUGUCCAUGGAGCUGGGUUUGGGCAGGCUCUGGGUCCCCUCCUGGAAUGCGGGGUUUCGUGGAAAAAUUGAGCCCCGAAGCACUCGCAGAGGAAAUUCCAGGGUGCGUUUGCUGAUGGACGUGUCUUGGAAGGCGGCUGGUUACGUUGGCACCGUCCCAGCACUCAUGCUCUCCCCUUCCUGCCCUCCCGCUCCCCAACUUCUCUUUUUCCCUCCAAAGAAAAAAAUAUCAAAACCAAAGACAAGCCAGAAAGCACAAGCAAACCGACCAGAGAGAACCCUACUUAGUCAAGAAAAAUGACAAACCCUAGGGCAUAAAAUCACCAGCACUUUUACAGUAGCCCGUCUUAGAAGAAAGGCCGUCCCUGAGUGGAGGGACACAUGCAAAUGUUCUUUAAGCUGCCAUCUUUCGAAUGCCUACGAUAGUUUUGUUUUUGUGUUUAACCGAGGCAUAGCUUAAAUGUAAUCAAGUGCACACCUGUGGAGUGUGCAGCUCGGCAAGGUGCUACAUAUGUGUCCCCUGAGACACACAGAGCCCCCCACCCCCGGCAUGCACGGGGCUACCCUCAUCCUCUUUCCUUGUCAGCGCCCUUCACCCCCGCUCACUGCGGCUCCGACUUCCACGCUCUUCACUUUGCUGCUCUUGAACGUCAUGUCUGUGGACUCACGCGGCAGGUCCUGCUCUGUGCUGGCCUCUUUCACGUGCUGUCAGUCUGACAUCUGUCCGUGUGCUGGGGUGUGGCCAGUCUGCUCCCCUCUCUUGCUGCGCAGAAUUCUGUUGUGAGAGCAUGCCCCGGUGUGUUUACACAUCCCCUGCUGACACACUCUUGGGACGUUUCCAUUUUUGGGGACACUUUGAAUAAAGCAUCCACGAGCUUUCUUGGCUCCUUCUUGGUCCUUUGGUGUCUCCAUGCCACGGUAGCCCCGUGGCGUGAGUACGGUUUUUAGCAUCCCCAAGUCAUAGGUGGGAACACUGAGGCACGACAAGUUUUAGUGCCUUGUCCAAAGUCCCAAGGUAAGGAGCGGGGCUGGGAUUGCAGCCAGAGCCAUGCGUUGGGGACCCCAGCUCUUUGCAAAAGGCACAGCAUUUCAGGAGCAAAGUGGCCGAAGACUCCAGGGCUGUGAGGCACGGGCAGUUUUUCGGCGUGAAGAAUCCCCCUCCUCCUCCUUGGCAGAGGGAUGCCUGGCCCAGUCCUCACUCACUGUCCUGGCUGUCCCCGCCCAAGCCCAGCUGUGUGCUCACGGCCUGAGAGAGCCCCUGAUGACAGCUGUGUUAGAUGUUCCGGGAGAUGCAGGCUCUCGUUCAGCUGCUGGGGGAAAGCCCUGCAAAUCCUGUGACAAACAGCUCUAAUCUGGUGUUUAAUGUGGAGCCUGAUGUCGGCAGCAGCGAGUGAGGGCACAGGCUUUGGGAAACACAACCGGUGCCAAGCCUGGGAGUGUGCAUCUGGCCCCCGCCAGGCAGCCAGGCUGCUGAUCCCCCAGCUGAGCACGGCUGGAGGCUGGACGGCAUCACUGUGGCCUCAUGGGCUCGGUUUGCUGACCCUGGGUUGACAUGAGCAAUAAUGAAAUGACCCACGUGAAAUGCCAGCAUGGCCCCAGUGAGUGUGAGCUGGCUUGUUGUUUUCCAUUGUUCACAAUUGGGGCUUAUGACCUGAGCAAUCUACCCUACGGGUCCCUUAUCUGAGUCCCUUAUCUGAGACCCUGGGGGCCAUAUCUGUUUCAGAACUCAGGAUUUGUUGGAUUUUAGAAUGUUAAAUCGUUGCUUAUAUUGUAUAUCAUUAAGAGCCCCGUGGGAUCCUGGGCAUUCUGGGUAAUGGAACUCAUGGAGUUUCUUCAGCAAACCGUAUGGGUAGGCAGCCUUGACCAGCCUCACCACUCUCUUCAGGGACGGCUCUGCUGCCAAAUGAAUGUGCUGCAAAUUUGGGAAGAAAUUUGCAUGAUUUGGGAACUGGUGAUACGGGGUUGGGUCGUGGCUUCAGACCGUUGUGAGAUGGAUGAGCUCAUCUAAGAGGAGUGUGUAGAGCAGAUGCAAGGGACAUGCUGUUCAUAAUCACAGUGUGAGUGUGUGUGCAUGUGGGUGUGUGUGUGUGGUGUCACUUUGAUUUUGUUGUUGUCUUAAUCCAUUUCUUGCUCAUGAGUCUGCCAUUCGGGACAGCUCAUCUCUGUAUGGUGUCUGCCGGGGAAGCUUGAAAGCUGCAGGUGACUGAUGGCUGGGUUCUGGGACAUCUCAAGGCUGGCUCACUCACGUGUGUGGCGGGUAAUGCUGGCCGUUAACCGGGGACCUCCGCAGCGCUCUGUUAGCCCACCCUCUGCCCUUGGGCUUCCUGUGGCUGCUUGGACUUCCUCUCAGCACAGAGCAGCCAUCUGGACGUACAAGGUGGACGUGAACGGCACUGUCAGGGUCUAGUCUUGGUGGUCAUUUCCAUCAUACUUUCCUGGUGGAGACGGUCGCCAAGUUCCCCCCAGGUUCGAGAGGAGGGGGCAUCCCAGCCCUGGAUGGGAGGCGUGUCAGCAUCACACCCACAAGAAGAGCCUGUGGCAUGGACCCGUUGUGGUGAUCUUAGAAAACCCCUGCCUGCCCCGGAAGCCCCUCCGGGAGUCUCUGAGGCCCCCGCGGUCUGGAUAGCCUCCUGCCGAGGCACAGACCACCGUGUGCUUCCCGGGAGCCUGUGGCCACCUCAGUGCCUGGGUCCGUUAGGCUAAAGGGAGUUGUUCGUAUCUUUAUUAGUGGUUAGCUUGAAAAAAUUUAAACGUAAUUUUAUAAUUCCAUUAUUUAAACACAGUUAUUUAUUUUAUAUAAUUAUAUUUUAUAUUAUUAUGUCCUUACAAUAGAAUUUCC
This 4954-nucleotide long non-coding RNA is filed under the name Ailuropoda melanoleuca (giant panda). RNAcentral describes it as "lncRNA (ENSAMEG00000030643.1)". Lineage: Eukaryota; Metazoa; Chordata; Mammalia; Carnivora; Ursidae. The record is from RNAcentral.